GGGCUUGACAUCCCACGAACCUGCCCGAAAGGGUAGGGUGCCCGCAAGGGAGCGUGGAGACAGGUGGUGCAUGGCUGUCGUCAGCUCGUGUCGUGAGAUGUUGGGUUAAGUCCCGCAACGAGCGCAACCCUCACCCCUUGUUGCCACCGGGUUAUGCCGAGCACUCUAGGGGAACUGCCAGCGUCAAGCUGGAGGAAGGCGGGGAUGACGUCAAGUCAUCAUGCCCCUUACGCCCUGGGCGACACACGUGCUACAGUGGCUGGUACAAAGGGAUGCAAGACCGCGAGGUGGAGCUAAUCCCAAAAAACCGGUCUAAGUUCAGAUUGCAGUCUGCAACUCGACUGCAUGAAGGAGGAAUCGCUAGUCAUCGCGCAUCAGCACGGGGCGGUGAAUACGUUCCCGGGCCUUGUACACACCGCCCGCCACACCACGAAAGCCGGCUGUACUCGAAGUCGCUGAGA
This 461-nucleotide ribosomal RNA is filed under the name uncultured Methylomirabilota bacterium. RNAcentral describes it as "bacterial SSU rRNA". It matches the Rfam family "Bacterial small subunit ribosomal RNA", at positions 977 to 1435 of the family's 1533-position model. The record is from RNAcentral. Lineage: Bacteria; Methylomirabilota (SeqCode).